AACGCAUAUUGCGCCCGCUGGUAUUCCGGCGGGCAUGCCUGUUCGAGCGUCAUUAUGACCAAUCAAGCUCUGCUUGGUUUUGAGGUCCGCUACACCAACGGCGGCCUUUAAAAUCAGUGACGGUGCCGUCUGGCUCUAAGCGUAGUAAUACUUCUCGCUAUAGAGUUUAGUCGUCCACCUGUUAGAAUCUUCAACUUUCUUAGGUUGACCUCGGAUCAGGUAGGGAUAACCCGCUGAACUUAA
This 243-nucleotide unclassified non-coding RNA is filed under the name uncultured fungus. Its description in RNAcentral is "sequence contains ITS2". The stretch from base 1 to 52 matches the Rfam family "5.8S ribosomal RNA", at positions 103 to 154 of the family's 154-position model. The record is from RNAcentral. Lineage: Eukaryota; Fungi.